GAUGAAGAACGCAGCGAAAUGCGAUAAGUAAUGUGAAUUGCAGAAUUCAGUGAAUCAUCGAAUCUUUGAACGCACAUUGCGCCCCCUGGCAUUCCGGGGGGCAUGCCUGUCCGAGCGUCAUUUCUGCCCUCCAGCCCGGCUGGGUGUUGGGCGCUGUCCCCCCGGGGACACGCCCCAAAGGCAGUGGCGGCGCCGCGUCGGGUCCUCGAGCGUAUGGGGCUUUGUCACCCGCUCGGGACGGACUCGUCGGCGCUGGUCUUCCUCCAGGCGACCCUUCGGGGCUCGUCUUCCUUCGGUUGACCUCGGAUCAGGUAGGGUUACCCGCUGAACUUAAGCAUAUCAAUAAGUGGAGGA
RNAcentral lists this unclassified non-coding RNA (354 nucleotides) under soil metagenome. RNAcentral describes it as "partial contains 5.8S ribosomal RNA, internal transcribed spacer 2, and large subunit ribosomal RNA". The stretch from base 1 to 120 matches the Rfam family "5.8S ribosomal RNA", at positions 35 to 154 of the family's 154-position model. The record is from RNAcentral.